CGGGCUGUGGCGCAGUCUGGUAGCGCGCUCCGUUCGGGUCGGAGAGGUCGCCAGUUCAAAUCUGGCCAGCCCGA
Molecule: transfer RNA, 74 nt
Filed under: Thermoleophilaceae bacterium
Lineage: Bacteria; Bacillati; Actinomycetota; Thermoleophilia; Thermoleophilales; Thermoleophilaceae
Description: tRNA-Pro
Rfam family: tRNA
About the family: Transfer RNA (tRNA) molecules are approximately 80 nucleotides in length.
Source: RNAcentral